AUUGAACGCUGGCGGCAGGCCUAACACAUGCAAGUCGAACGGUAACAGGAAGAAGCUUGCUUCUUUGCUGACGAGUGGCGGACGGGUGAGUAAUGUCUGGGAAACUGCCUGAUGGAGGGGGAUAACUACUGGAAACGGUAGCUAAUACCGCAUAACGUCGCAAAACCAAAGAGGGGGACCUUCGGGCCUCUUGCCAUCGGAUGUGCCCAGAUGGGAUUAGCUAGUAGGUGGGGUAACGGCUCACCUAGGCGACGAUUCCUAGCUGGUCUGAGAGGAUGACCAGCCACACUGGAACUGAGACACGGUCCAGACUCCUACGGGAGGCAGCAGUGGGGAAUAUUGCACAAUGGGCGCAAGCCUGAUGCAGCCAUGCCGCGUGUAUGAAGAAGGCCUUCGGGUUGUAAAGUACUUUCAGCGGGGAGGAAGGGAGUAAAGUUAAUACCUUUGCUCAUUGACGUUACCCGCAGAAGAAGCACCGGCUAACUCCGUG
RNAcentral lists this ribosomal RNA (490 nucleotides) under uncultured bacterium. RNAcentral's name for it is "partial 16S ribosomal RNA". It matches the Rfam family "Bacterial small subunit ribosomal RNA", at positions 30 to 507 of the family's 1533-position model. The record is from RNAcentral.